This 253-nucleotide ribosomal RNA is filed under the name uncultured bacterium. RNAcentral's name for it is "partial 16S ribosomal RNA". It matches the Rfam family "Bacterial small subunit ribosomal RNA", at positions 524 to 776 of the family's 1533-position model. The record is from RNAcentral.
UACGUAGGGUGCAAGCGUUAAUCGGAAUUACUGGGCGUAAAGCGUGCGCAGGCGGUUUUGUAAGUCUGACGUGAAAUCCCCGGGCUUAACCUGGGAACUGCAUUGGUGACUGCAAGGCUUGAGUGUGUCAGAGGGAGGUGGAAUUCCGCGUGUAGCAGUGAAAUGCGUAGAUAUGCGGAGGAACACCGAUGGCGAAGGCAGCCUCCUGGGAUAACACUGACGCUCAUGCACGAAAGCGUGGGGAGCAAACAGG